RNAcentral lists this ribosomal RNA (552 nucleotides) under Escherichia coli. Its description in RNAcentral is "bacterial SSU rRNA". It matches the Rfam family "Bacterial small subunit ribosomal RNA", at positions 993 to 1533 of the family's 1533-position model. Lineage: Bacteria; Pseudomonadati; Pseudomonadota; Gammaproteobacteria; Enterobacterales; Enterobacteriaceae. The record is from RNAcentral.
GAAGUUUUCAGAGAUGAGAAUGUGCCUUCGGGAACCGUGAGACAGGUGCUGCAUGGCUGUCGUCAGCUCGUGUUGUGAAAUGUUGGGUUAAGUCCCGCAACGAGCGCAACCCUUAUCCUUUGUUGCCAGCGGUCCGGCCGGGAACUCAAAGGAGACUGCCAGUGAUAAACUGGAGGAAGGUGGGGAUGACGUCAAGUCAUCAUGGCCCUUACGGCCAGGGCUACACACGUGCUACAAUGGCGCAUACAAAGAGAAGCGACCUCGCGAGAGCAAGCGGACCUCAUAAAGUGCGUCGUAGUCCGGAUUGGAGUCUGCAACUCGACUCCAUGAAGUCGGAAUCGCUAGUAAUCGUGGAUCAGAAUGCCACGGUGAAUACGUUCCCGGGCCUUGUACACACCGCCCGUCACACCAUGGGAGUGGGUUGCAAAAGAAGUAGGUAGCUUAACCUUCGGGAGGGCGCUUACCACUUUGUGAUUCAUGACUGGGGUGAAGUCGUAACAAGGUAACCGUAGGGGAACCUGCGGUUGGAUCACCUCCUUACCUUAAAGAAGC